GGUCCUGACUUUACUGUCAGCUUUGACUAAACUUACACAUGCAAGUAUCCGCCCUCCCGUGAGAAUGCCCCACAGUUCUCCGUUCGAGAACAAGGAGCCGGUAUCAGGCCCGCCCAAUUCCAGCCCAUAACACCUUGCUUAGCCACACCCUCAAGGGACCCCAGCAGUGAUAGACAUUAAGCCAUAAGUGAAAACUUGACUUAGUUAAAGCCAAAAGGGCCGGUAAAACUCGUGCCAGCCACCGCGGUUAUACGAGAGGCCCAAGUUGACAGACACCGGCGUAAAGAGUGGUUAAGGACAAACUCCAAAACUAAAGCCGAACGCCCUCAGAACCGUUAUACGUACCCGAAGGUAAGAAGCCCCCCUACGAAAGUGGCUUUACUCUGCCCGACCCCACGAAAGCUGCGAAACAAACUGGGAUUAGAUACCCCACUAUGCCCAGCCCUAAACUUUGAUAGUCUGCUACACCCACUAUCCGCCCGGGAACUACGAGCAUUAGCUUAAAACCCAAAGGACUUGGCGGUGCUUUAGAUCCACCUAGAGGAGCCUGUUCUAGAACCGAUAACCCCCGUUAAACCUCACCCUCUCUUGCCUUUCCCGCCUAUAUACCGCCGUCGUCAGCUUACCCUGUGAAGGCCAAAUAGUAAGCAAAAUUAGCACACCCCAAAACGCCAGGUCGAGGUGUAGCACAUGAGAGGGGAAGAAAUGGGCUACAUUCCCUGCCCCAGGGAAUACGAAUAAUGUAAUGAAACGUACAUUAGAAGGAGGAUUUAGCAGUAAAUAAGAAAUAGAGUGUCUUGCUGAAACCGGCCCUGAAGCGCGCACACACCGCCCGU
RNAcentral lists this non-coding RNA (836 nucleotides) under Ptychochromis grandidieri. Its description in RNAcentral is "partial small subunit ribosomal RNA". It matches the Rfam family "Bacterial small subunit ribosomal RNA". Lineage: Eukaryota; Metazoa; Chordata; Actinopteri; Cichliformes; Cichlidae. The record is from RNAcentral.